This 1996-nucleotide long non-coding RNA is filed under the name Ananas comosus (pineapple). Its description in RNAcentral is "long non-coding RNA (ACOM_LNC024071)". Lineage: Eukaryota; Viridiplantae; Streptophyta; Magnoliopsida; Poales; Bromeliaceae. The record is from RNAcentral.
UAAAUCACCCAUAGUUUUUGUAACACCCCAAUAAUCCCGCAUUGGGUGAGAAAAUAAUUCUGAUUAGAAUAUAUGAGGCAUACAUGCUAGUAAAAAUAACUGGGCUUAAGCAGUUUGAGCCGGUGGUUUUGGGUCCAACGAGUUAUUGAUGCUAGCGGGUCAGAUCAUUGCAAUUGGUAUCAGAGCCGAAAACCAGCCGGAAGUGUAAGAGCUAAGUGCUAUGCGGGGCAAAAUGCUACACCAACGGAUUUGGUGGGAGCCACCUCUUGAACCCAUAGGAGCUACCUCUAGAAUUAAUCUCACGUCGCCUGAUAAUUCUGGUCUGUAUCUGUGAUCUGAUUUGGACCGAACGAGAACAUCAGGGUCUAAACAGGGGGAGUUUGUAAUGCCCCAAUAGUCCCACAUUGGGUGGAAAAAUGAUUCUGAUUAGAAUAUAUGAGACCUACACGAUAGUAAUAAUAAUUGGGCUUAAGUAUUUCGAACCAGUGGUUUUGGGCCCAACGAGUUAUUGUUGCUAGCGGGUCCGGUCGUUACAAUUAGUAUUAGAGACGAAUACCAGCCAAAAGUAUGAGAGCAAAGUGUUAUGCGGGACACAAUACUACAUCAACAAAUUUGGUGAGAGCCAACUCUUGAACUCGUAGGAACCCCAAUAAUCCCACAUCGGAUGGGAAAGAAGUUUUGAUUUGGUAUAUAAGAGACCUCCACGCUAGUAAUAAUAACUGGGCUUAUUGUUGCUAGCAGGUCGGGGUUACAAUUGAUAUCAGAGCCGAAUACCAGCCGAAAGUGUGAGAGCUAAGUGUUAUGCAGGGCAAAGUGCUACACCAAUGGAUUUAGUAGGAGACACCUCUUGAACUCGUAGAAGUCACCUCUAGAAUCUCAUAUCGCCUAGUAAUUCUGGUCUAUAUCUGUGAUAUAGUUUGGACCCGACGAAAACGUCAAGGUCUAAACAGGGGGAGUUUGUAAAAAUAAUUCUGAUUACAAUAUAUAAGGCCUCCAUGCUAGUAAUAAUAACUGGACUUAAGUAUUUUGGGCCGGUGGUUUCGGCCCAACGAGUUAUUGUUGCUAAGAGGUCGAAUCGUUACAAUUGAUAUCAGAGCCGAAUACCAGCUAAAAAUGUGAGAGCUAAGUGCUAUGCAGAACAAAGUGCUACACCAAUGGAGCUACACCAACGGAUUUGGUGGGAGCCACCUCUUGAACCCGUAAGAGCUACCUCUAGAAUCUCACAUCACCUGAUAAUUCUGGUCUGCAUCUAUGACCUGGUUUGGAUCCGACAAGUAUGUUAGAGUCUAAAUAGGGGAAGCUUGUAACGCCCCAACAGUCCCACAUCGGAUGUAAUAAUAACUAGGCUUAACCAUUUUGGGCCGAUGGUUUGGUCCCAACAAGUUAUUAUUACUAGCGGGUCGGGUCGUUACAAUUGAUAUCAGAGCCGAAUACUAGCCGGAAGUGUGAGAGUUAUAAGUGCUAUGCGGAGCAAAGUGUUACACCAACGGAUUUGGUGGGAGCCACCUCUUGAACCCAUAGGAGCCACUUUUAGAAUCUCACAUCGCCUGGUAAUUCUGGUCUACAUCUGUGAUCUGGUUUGGACCCAACGAUGACAUAAAGGUCUAAACAAGGGGAGUUUGUAACACCCCAAUAGUCCCACAUUGGGUGAAAAAAUAAUUCUGAUUAGAAUAUAAGAGGCCUACACGCUAGUAAUAAUAACUGGGCUUAAGUAUUUUAAGCCGGUGGUUUAAGCCCAACGAAUUAUUAUUACUAGCAGGUCGGGACAUAUUUGAAAAUAUCAUGACUUUUGUAGAAAUAACAUAUAUGAAAGUUGAACUUUAUAGGAAUAUAUUUGUAAUUUACUAUAUUUGCAAAGACCCGUAUGAAAUUAACCCUAUUGCUUAAUAUCAAUCUGACCCGAAACAACCCUGCCACCUCCUACUUUUGUGUUCUGUCCCCACAAUUUGCUGGUUGUGUAAAACUCAAAUGUUACAUCAAAUGAAUGCAAUCAAAA